GGGCCCAUAGUAAAGUGGCAUUACGUGGCAUUCGCAUUGCCAAGGCCCGGGUUCGAUUCCCGGUGGGUCCACCA
This 74-nucleotide transfer RNA is filed under the name Candidatus Magasanikiibacteriota bacterium. Its description in RNAcentral is "Candidatus Magasanikbacteria bacterium tRNA-Ala". It matches the Rfam family "tRNA". Rfam says of the family: Transfer RNA (tRNA) molecules are approximately 80 nucleotides in length. Their secondary structure includes four short double-helical elements and three loops (D, anti-codon, and T loops). Lineage: Bacteria; Candidatus Magasanikiibacteriota. RNAcentral also lists the same sequence under 1 other name. The record is from RNAcentral.